GCUCUUAGUUCAGUUCGGUAGAACGCGGGUCUCCAAAACCCGAUGUCGUAGGUUCAAAGGAGGGCGGGAUCCCUUAACUUUUAAGGGGUCCG
This is a non-coding RNA of Stylosanthes scabra, 92 nucleotides long. The record is from the annotation of a GenBank genome assembly. NCBI's taxonomy places the organism in Eukaryota, Viridiplantae, Streptophyta, Magnoliopsida, Fabales, Fabaceae.